UCUCAAUUUUGAAGAUCGGAAAUUGAAUGACUCUGCCGAUUUAUCAAGCAUCAAAUACUUGGAGUUUUCCUGUGAUGAGACAAAGUGGGAAGAAUUGAAGGAGAUUCUGAAGCAUCCGACGGCCCUCGAGGGUCUGACCCUCGAAAUAAUGAAAAAUGCUGCACCAGUUGAUGACGUUUUGCUUCAAUGUGGAUCAAACCUCCGCUGGUUGACCUUGAUUGGGAAUGGUCUCCAAAGCGUCGAACUGAACCGCAUUUCUCAACUCUGCCCAAGGCUGAGAGUUCUCGCUGUGACGUCAGUUCAGGUUACUGCAAAAACCUCCCAACAAGCAAACUUCCGCCAUCUAGAAGAAUUAUUUACGGAAGGAUUAAAUCUGUGGACGGAUGGAAGCUUUAGUGCCGUUUUGUCUUCAUCUCCGAAUUUGCGAAAGUUGGAACUGCAAGGAGAGGCAUGCGACCUGGAAGAAUUGCACAAUAUCAAAAAUUUGAUAACCGAAAAGA
Molecule: long non-coding RNA, 500 nt
Organism: Cloeon dipterum
Lineage: Eukaryota; Metazoa; Arthropoda; Insecta; Ephemeroptera; Baetidae
Exons: 3
Source: RefSeq, a predicted model, not a curated record